RNAcentral lists this long non-coding RNA (689 nucleotides) under Trifolium pratense (red clover). RNAcentral describes it as "long non-coding RNA (TPRA_LNC009621)". The record is from RNAcentral. Lineage: Eukaryota; Viridiplantae; Streptophyta; Magnoliopsida; Fabales; Fabaceae.
GCGCCGCGUAAUUCUGUUAUCACGCGCGGCAUAGUGAUGGAUUUGCAACCACGCGCGGCGUGGUAGAUCUGGCGCGCGGCGUGGUUGCCUUCUGUAUAUAUAUUUUCUGCAUAAUUCUGUUUUCGGGUUGGAAAAUUCUGGGAAAUUGGACUACAUUCUGGUUUUGGAACUUGAAGAUCGUGAUUCAACACUCCAGCGGAGAGCUCCAAGCGCAUCAGAUCAUGGAUUCACAAGCCGUGGCGAUGAAGCGAGGAAGCGUACGAAGAACGAUGAGGAGCUAAACUCCUUCGGAGGUAGAAUCUAGGUAGUUUAGGAUGUAGUUCAGCUCAAUGUAACCUGCAAUUGUGUAAGAUCAUACUCUCUCUAUAGUGUUCAUUCAAUUCAAGUCUGUUUCUAAUGCUUUGUAAUCCUUCAUUAGUGUUAUAAUGAUUUUGAGUUAAGUCACGUGCGAGAGUAUUGAUUUAAUGUCUGAACUGAAUUGUAUUGAGCACUCGAGUGUCUCCGGUCGAGAGAUUGAGGCAUAGAGUGUAGCGAACGAUUGACGCGCGUUAAUAUCAUUCGUUGUAGGUAGCUUCCGCCCGAGAGAUCGGGGGAGUAUCGACAACGAAUAGAGUGGAUUUUGCCAAGAGAUUGCGAUUCACUAAUUUGUCGAUCUAGUUGUGAACACUUGAGUAGUUCUUAUACAUUGU